RNAcentral lists this long non-coding RNA (671 nucleotides) under Oryzias javanicus (javanese ricefish). RNAcentral describes it as "lncRNA (ENSOJAG00000022728.1)". Lineage: Eukaryota; Metazoa; Chordata; Actinopteri; Beloniformes; Adrianichthyidae. The record is from RNAcentral.
UUUUUCGCUGCUUUGACUUUGGAAUGUCCUUUGUCGUCUUCCGUAGUUUCCCAGAAGACAACUGCGUUUAUUUGUUGUCAUAGCAACGUAGGAACUUGAAAGCCCUCGUAAUGUAUGAGGGGUUUCUUUCUCACUCCAGCGUAAAAAGAGGGAUGUCCGCUGAAGCGCGAGAGCACGAGCCUCUUCCGGUGAAGCCUUCCCGCUCCACGGUGGAUUUCAAAGAUCCUGACAUUCAUCACAGACAAAGGGAUGUAAAGAAACCCAGACGAGCGUCUGGUCAAAGACGGUGGUUCCUGGGUUUGGAGACCGAGUCCGAGUUGGUUUGGGAGGAUUGGGAGCCAGGCGGAAAGUUCACAAAGUCACUGGUGUUGAGGAACGUCCGCAACAAGCUGCACAAACUAAGCAUAAGACCUCCAGAAUCCGGGUUUUUCCAAACCUUUGUUCCUCACACGGUUCUUCUAAGUCCUGGGAUUUCUUACUCCAUUCCGGUCACUUUCAGACCUCUUCAGAAAGUGAGACAUUCCAGCAAUUAUAUCCUUAACGUCCUGACAAUUAGAGAAAAAAUAUGUUUUGUCAAUUUCUUCUUUAUUGACCAAAACUACAAUUUAUAUUUCAUUUCAUUUCAUUUUAUUUAUUUAUUUCAUUUUCAAGCACACAUAAGAAGUUUUACC